Molecule: long non-coding RNA, 1324 nt
Organism: Vigna angularis (adzuki bean)
Lineage: Eukaryota; Viridiplantae; Streptophyta; Magnoliopsida; Fabales; Fabaceae
Exons: 6
Source: RefSeq, a predicted model, not a curated record
UAAAAACCAAAAAGGUGUCGCGUGGAGAGAGAACACAGCAGGGGCUUCCAUGGUUCAAGGCACCAGCACCAGCAAAUGACAGAUCGAUGGUGCAGAGAGAAAGAGAGAUCCAGAGAAGCAGAAGAAGAAAAAGAAGACAGAUCGAUGGUGCAGAGAGAAAGAGAGAUCCAGAGAAGCAGAGGAAGAAGAAGAAGAAAGCGAAAGGAGGUUGAACCAUAACUUUAUUGGUUGAAAUUAGGUUGUAACCAGGGACAAUGACCUCUCCAUUACUUGCUGCAGCACGACAAAUCUCAGUGGGCUGGGAUAUAUGAGAAGAAAAAUAAAGAAUUAUAUGCCUUGGACUUGAUUUUUCCUACCAGAUGGUCUUCCACGCGAUUUCUUUGCAACUUUACAACCAUCUAUUGUUGAGAGCAGAUAGCUGCCUUUUCAGCUUGCUCUAGCCGCAUCACCCGUCCAGAAAAGGUAAGCAACUGAUUCACAAACUUCAACAACUAACAAAAUCCCAAUUCUCAAAUGUAAAACAUAUCUUUCAAAUAACAUAGCGAAGCAAAUGACAGAGUCAUGGUGCAGAGAGAAAGAGAGAUCCAGAGAAGCAGAGGAAGAAGAAGAAAGGGGAAAGAGGUUGAACCAUAACUUUAUUGGUUGAAAUUAGGUUGUAACCAGGGACAAUGGCCUCUCCAUUACUUGCUGCAGCAUGACAAAUCUCAGUGGGCUGGGAUAUAUGAGAAGAUGGUCUUCCACGUGGUUUCUUUGCAACUUUACAACCAUCUAUGGUUGAGGUAUCUUUUCUCUUUUGGCCAUCUAUUGUUGAAGUAUCUUUUCUCUUUUGAUGAAACAUUCUGAUCCUAGGUGAUGACAGGUUUAUAUUGUCCAUGAGUGUAGGUGUCACUGACAUUGUGUUUUGCAUAGGGAAAUCGGUGCCCGUAGACACAACUAAAAAGAGUAGAAAAAAUUAAAUCAAUAGGUUAAAUAUGGAAAGAAUUCAAAUGAAAAAAAAAGCAACAAACCCAUAUUAUAAUUCAUUAACUAAACAAAAUGUUUACCUGGAAUAUUUCUAUUAGAAUUUGGCAUUGGAUUUCCUGGAAGAUUUCUAUUGUUUUGCAUUGAAGGAAGAACCGCAUAAUUUUGAAUUAUGGUUGCGGCAUUGCUAUUAUUUUGCAUUGAAGGAAGACCCGCAUAAUUUUGUAUUAUGGUUGUGGGAUUGGACAAGGGUGAUGAUCUUGCAUUGAAACUGUCCAAAAUAUUUUGUAGGUCUUGCAACAACAUUUGUGUUUUGUGUUUCUCUUGCAUCAACAUGACAUUUUGUUUAGUCAACAGUAAGUUC